AUACGUAGGGGGCAAGCGUUGUCCGGAAUUACUGGGCGUAAAGAGCUCGUAGGCGGCUCAGCAAGUCGGUCGUGAAAGCCCGAGGCUCAACCUCGGAACUGCGGUCGAUACUGCUGUGGCUAGAGUCCGGUAGAGGAGAGUGGAAUUCCCGGUGUAGCGGUGGAAUGCGCAGAUAUCGGGAGGAACACCAGUGGCGAAGGCGGCUCUCUGGGCCGGUACUGACGCUGAGGAGCGAAAGCGUGGGGAGCAAACAGGAUUAGAUACCCCUGUAGUCC
This 275-nucleotide ribosomal RNA is filed under the name uncultured bacterium. RNAcentral describes it as "partial 16S ribosomal RNA". It matches the Rfam family "Bacterial small subunit ribosomal RNA", at positions 523 to 796 of the family's 1533-position model. The record is from RNAcentral.